RNAcentral lists this ribosomal RNA (253 nucleotides) under uncultured bacterium. RNAcentral describes it as "partial 16S ribosomal RNA". It matches the Rfam family "Bacterial small subunit ribosomal RNA", at positions 524 to 776 of the family's 1533-position model. The record is from RNAcentral.
UACGUAGGUGGCAAGCGUUGUUCGGAAUUAUUGGGCGUAAAGGGCGCGUAGGCGGUUUGUUAAGUCGGUCGUGAAAGCCCGGGGCUCAACCCCGGAGGGUCGACCGAUACUGGCAGACUAGAGUACAGAAGAGGUAGCUGGAAUUCCCGGUGUAGCGGUGAAAUGCGUAGAUAUCCGGAGGAACACCGGUGGCGAAGGCGGCUUCCUGGACCGACACUGACGCUGAGGCGCGAAAGCUAGGGGAGCGAACGGG